CAGUAGCCGCGGUAACACGUAGGGUGCGAGCGUUAUCCGGAAUGAUUGGGCGUAAAGCGUCUGUAGGUGGCUUUUCAAGUCCGCCGUCAAAUCCCAGGGCUCAACCCUGGACAGGCGGUGGAAACUACCAAGCUAGAGUACGGUAGGGGCAGAGGGAAUUUCCGGUGGAGCGGUGAAAUGCGUUGAGAUCGAAAAGAACACCAACGACGAAAGCACUCUGCUGGGUCGACACUGACACUGAGAGACGAAAGCUAGGGGAGCAAAUGGGAUUAGAUACCCCUGUAGUCCCUGUCUCUUAUAC
This 301-nucleotide ribosomal RNA is filed under the name uncultured bacterium. RNAcentral's name for it is "partial 16S ribosomal RNA". It matches the Rfam family "Bacterial small subunit ribosomal RNA", at positions 509 to 807 of the family's 1533-position model. The record is from RNAcentral.